UAGUGAGUUUGAUCCUGGCUCAGGACGAACGCUGGCGCGUGCUAACGACGAUGCAAGUCGCACGGUCGGGGCAACUCGGCAGUGGCGGACGGGUGAGGAACACGUAGGAACGUGUCCAGAGGUGGGGAAUAACGCCGGGAAACUGGCGCUAAUACCGCAUAUGUCCUGAGGGACAAAGCCGAAAGGCGCCUUUGGAGCGGCCUGCGUCCGAUUAGCUUGUUGGUGGGGGUAAUGGCCUACCAAGGCUUCGAUCGGUAGCUGGUCUGAGAGGACGACCA
This 278-nucleotide ribosomal RNA is filed under the name uncultured Pseudomonadota bacterium. Its description in RNAcentral is "uncultured proteobacterium partial 16S ribosomal RNA". It matches the Rfam family "Bacterial small subunit ribosomal RNA", at positions 1 to 306 of the family's 1533-position model. The record is from RNAcentral. Lineage: Bacteria; Pseudomonadati; Pseudomonadota.